Molecule: long non-coding RNA, 199 nt
Organism: Cucurbita maxima (winter squash)
Lineage: Eukaryota; Viridiplantae; Streptophyta; Magnoliopsida; Cucurbitales; Cucurbitaceae
Exons: 3
Source: RefSeq, a predicted model, not a curated record
UCAUACUGCUGCUAUGAGCCGAAAGAGCUGGUAAGCUAUCUCGCUAAAUGAAAGGCAAAAGCACGUACGGGUUGACCUUGUUACAAGGGGCGGGGGCCAGCCAAAGAAGGUCAGUCGGACUCGGUUAGGACCCUUGAUCCGGUUCAGCUAGGUUCUUCCAUGCAAGAAUGUAUGUGCCCUUUUUCUCCUCGACCCGCAA